Small nuclear RNA from Pteronotus mesoamericanus, 107 nucleotides. NCBI's taxonomy places the organism in Eukaryota, Metazoa, Chordata, Mammalia, Chiroptera, Mormoopidae. The record is from RefSeq and is a predicted model, not a curated record.
GUGCUCGCUUCAGCAGCACAUAUACUAAUGUUGGAACAACACAGAAAAGAUCAGCAUGGCCCCUGACCAAGGAAGACAUGCCGAUUUGUGAAGCGUUCUGUAUUUGU